GCUAUGUAUGGACGGGAUAAGUGCUGAAAGCAUCUAAGCAUGAAGCCCCCCUCGAGAUGAGAUUUCCCAACUUCGGUUAUAAGAUUCCUCAAAGAUGAUGAGGUGAAUAGGUUCGAGGUGGAAGCGUAGCGAUACGUGGAGCUGACGAAUACUAAUCGAUCGAAGACUUAAUCAAU
Molecule: ribosomal RNA, 176 nt
Filed under: Staphylococcus pseudintermedius
Lineage: Bacteria; Bacillati; Bacillota; Bacilli; Caryophanales; Staphylococcaceae
Description: partial 23S ribosomal RNA
Rfam family: Bacterial large subunit ribosomal RNA
Source: RNAcentral